UGUAAGUGUUGUGCUUAUAAAUUUUUUUCUGCUGUAAAAUCGUAUAUUCUUCAAACUUAAAGGUGAGAUUAGCAUGUUUACACUCGUAAAAAUCCGUCAUCCGGAUCUGGUUUUUUGUUAUGACACUUUGAUGGAUGACUCCCAGAGUUUCAUGGUAUCAAACAACUCUUUGACCUUUUGAUAAAUUGCUUUAGUGCACUGCUCGUGAACUGAAGCCGCAUUUUUAAUUGCAGAAUUUUGUAUGUUCGUAGGACAGUCAGGAGAAUAUAUGGAUUUCAGUAAUUUCGUAAAAGGCAACAUACACUCUGGAAUGUAUAUUGAAAGAAACUGAAAAAGAGAUUCUUUCGUGCCUUGAUACUUAGACCAUGACAUAAUAGUUGUUUUUGUUACUAUAGAACGAUCUUUCAAUUCGACAGAUGAUUCAAAGUCUGAUUGAGCUUGAAAGAGAUGUAAAACGUA
This is a non-coding RNA of Schizosaccharomyces pombe (fission yeast), 459 nucleotides long. NCBI's taxonomy places the organism in Eukaryota, Fungi, Ascomycota, Schizosaccharomycetes, Schizosaccharomycetales, Schizosaccharomycetaceae. The record is from the annotation of a GenBank genome assembly.